UACAGAGGGGGCAAGCGUUGUUCGGAAUUACUGGGCGUAAAGGGCGCGUAGGCGGCCUUCUAAGUCGAACGUGAAAUCCCUGGGCUCAACCCAGGAACUGCGUCCGAUACUGGAAGGCUUGAAUCCGGGAGAGGGAUGCGGAAUUCCAGGUGUAGCGGUGAAAUGCGUAGAUAUCUGGAGGAAUACCGGUGGCGAAGGCGGCAUCCUGGACCGGCAUUGACGCUGAUGAGCGAAAGCUAGGGGAGCAAACGGG
RNAcentral lists this ribosomal RNA (253 nucleotides) under uncultured bacterium. RNAcentral's name for it is "partial 16S ribosomal RNA". It matches the Rfam family "Bacterial small subunit ribosomal RNA", at positions 524 to 776 of the family's 1533-position model. The record is from RNAcentral.